AGUGAACGCUGGCGGUAGGCCUAACACAUGCAAGUCGAACGGCAGCACAGUAAGAGCUUGCUCUUACGGGUGGCGAGUGGCGGACAGGUGAGGAAUACAUCGGAAUCUACUUUUUCGUGGGGGAUAACGUAGGGAAACUUACGCUAAUACCGCAUACGACCUACGGGUGAAAGCAGGGGAUCUUCGGACCUUGCGCGAUUGAAUGAGCCGAUGUCGGAUUAGCUAGUUGGCGGGGUAAAGGCCCACCAAGGCGACGAUCCGUAGCUGGUCUGAGAGGAUGAUCGGCCACACUGAAACUGAGAAACGGUCCAAACCCCUACGGGAGGCAGCAGUGGGAAAUUUUGGACAAUGGGCGAAAGCCUGAUCCAGCCAUACGGCGUGGGUGAAGAAGGCCUUCGGGUGGUAAGCCCUUUUGUUGGGAAAGAAAAGCAGCAGGUUAAUACCCCGCUGUUCUGACGGUACCCAAAGAAUAAGCACCGGCUAACUUCGUG
This 491-nucleotide ribosomal RNA is filed under the name uncultured bacterium. Its description in RNAcentral is "partial 16S ribosomal RNA". It matches the Rfam family "Bacterial small subunit ribosomal RNA", at positions 29 to 507 of the family's 1533-position model. The record is from RNAcentral.